This 1902-nucleotide unclassified non-coding RNA is filed under the name Hevea brasiliensis (rubber tree). The record is from RNAcentral. Lineage: Eukaryota; Viridiplantae; Streptophyta; Magnoliopsida; Malpighiales; Euphorbiaceae.
GCAAAAUAUCAAAAUUUGAUAAUUUUUAUAUUAUAUUCAUAAAAAAACUUAGAGUUAAACAGUGAUAAAUUAUCUCAAAAUUGAAUAUGCUUUUCAUUAACAAAAUUCUUAGGUAUUCAUUUAACGAAAUCACUAUUUUUUUUUUAUAAAUUUACCCACACUCUGUAUUUGGGAGUCCAACUGCAAACCAUUGGCAGUUGAAAAGCAUAAAGGAAAACAAAUGGCACUAAAUCUUCAAUCCAUGCAUAGAAUUUGCACAAAAAGCAAGAGGCUUUUCUGAGAAUUUCUUGACAUGCUCAAAAAAUUGGAACUCUCAAUGCCAGAAUUUUACCUUACUAAUUACCAAAACCAGGGUCCCCUGCAGCUGCUGCUAUAACAUAAUCUCAUUAUCACCUGUCGCUCAUCAAAGUCUUCUGCAUACCACCAUGCAAAACAAUCAACCUUCGCUAGUUUUGUAUUAUUUAUUCAACAGAGGGGAAAAUCCUCUCCUCUCUGCAUGGAGAUAUUAAUUCAUAUUUGAUUUUAAAUAAAAGAUUUAAGUCUGUAUAUAAUUAAGCAUGAUCUUUCUAAUAUAUCAAUAUUUUUUCUUGUUACGAUGUAUCAAUAUUUCUCUAAUCUAAACAAAGAGGAAGAAGAAUAAGAAAAGCUCACCUUGCCUAUAGAAAAUGCUGCUAUAUUGCAGUUUAAUACACAAUUCUUCAGUUUUCCCUUUAUGGGUAGAAGGGUUUUGCCCUGCCCUCCUAUUAUUUGGCUGCCACCAAAUUCCAUUAACCAGUAACCACAGAACCACUACACACAAAAAUAUUACUACCUUUUUUUUUUGAUAAAAUCAUUCUCAGUCCUCUCUUUUAAAUUUCUCCAUCUCUUCCUCUGUUAUCACUGGAUGAUGACGCUUCUUCUUAUUCUUCUUGUUGUUUUCCAAAUGCAUCUUGACAUAAAAAUUCAAGAAAAGCAAAAGGAUUGCUCCAUUAAGCACUGAAUUGAAGAGCCAGGCUCCAAUUCCGUUGCACCCUCCUUUCAUAAAGUGAAGCAAGAGCACCCCAACAUGGCAAGCGAGGUUGCAACCCAACAACACCAUAUGGCAAUUCACUACGAAAGGGAAGCAAGCGCUGGGCAAGCCUAUUGCCGUCCAAAAUCUAUACCCAUAAACCACAGAGUAAGCCAAAGUAGCCAGAAGAAUUGCCAGGACCUGAAACGAUUGCGAGAAUUCAAGCCACAAGAAUGACAUAAAGAUGGAGAUGGAAUUGUUAAACAGCUGAAAAAACGCCAGUUUACGUAGCUGCAAAAUGGUGAAGAAAGUACGGAACAUGUGGAGGAACCGAGAAAGAUAAUACAUGUAGGACCAGAAGAAAACCCGACCAGAGGGACGUGUUCCCAGAGGAAAACAGAGAAGCCACUGAAAUGGGGUCUUGGAACGCCGCCAAAACCAGCGUGUUUCUUGGAUCUCCGCAGCUGUUGAAAGGAGAAUGCCAGCGAAGAUGGUGACCGAAAUCAACGCCAUGGAGAGACUAUGAACGGCGGGGAUUGGACCGAGAGGGACCACACGGCCACGACGGAGAAGAAUCGCCAAGAAAAGAUGGACGAAAGCGCAAAAUCCAAGGUAGAAGACUAUGGAGGAGAAGAGGAAUGACCAGGUGGAGCCCCAUGAUUGGCUGUGGCUCCAUCGGAAAUUAACAAUGGAUGGAUGCUCGGAGAGGUAAUAGGUUAGUGUUUGAAAGACGGCGUCCAUCAUCACCGUGGACGGAGGAUGAGACAGCGGAGGUGAGGUUUAGGAGAGGAGGAGCACCGCCCUGGCCGUGGUGGUUGCGUAUGCGGUUUGGUAGUCAUCCACGGCCGUGCCUUUCUUUUUCUUUUUAGUUUUCAGGAUGAAAGGGUGGAGAAGGGAUUUAAAAUAGGGAGACG